This 340-nucleotide ribosomal RNA is filed under the name uncultured Enterobacter sp. RNAcentral's name for it is "bacterial SSU rRNA". It matches the Rfam family "Bacterial small subunit ribosomal RNA", at positions 1019 to 1359 of the family's 1533-position model. The record is from RNAcentral. Lineage: Bacteria; Pseudomonadati; Pseudomonadota; Gammaproteobacteria; Enterobacterales; Enterobacteriaceae.
UUCGGGAACUCUGAGACAGGUGCUGCAUGGCUGUCGUCAGCUCGUGUUGUGAAAUGUUGGGUUAAGUCCCGCAACGAGCGCAACCCUUAUCCUUUGUUGCCAGCGGUGAGGCCGGGAACUCAAAGGAGACUGCCAGUGAUAAACUGGAGGAAGGUGGGGAUGACGUCAAGUCAUCAUGGCCCUUACGAGUAGGGCUACACACGUGCUACAAUGGCGCAUACAAAGAGAAGCGACCUCGCGAGAGCAAGCGGACCUCAUAAAGUGCGUCGUAGUCCGGAUUGGAGUCUGCAACUCGACUCCAUGAAGUCGGAAUCGCUAGUAAUCGUGGAUCAGAAUGCCA